RNAcentral lists this ribosomal RNA (444 nucleotides) under uncultured bacterium. Its description in RNAcentral is "bacterial SSU rRNA". It matches the Rfam family "Bacterial small subunit ribosomal RNA", at positions 791 to 1232 of the family's 1533-position model. The record is from RNAcentral.
UAGUCCACGCCGUAAACGAUGUCAACUAGCCGUCGGGCUCAUUAUAAGGGUUUGGUGGCGCAGCUAACGCGCUAAGUUGACCGCCUGGGGAGUACGCCGGCAACGGUAAAACUCAAAGGAAUUGACGGGGCCCGCACAAGCGGUGGAGCAUGUGGUUUAAUUCGAUGUAACGCGAAGAACCUUACCUACCCUUGACAUCCUCAGAACUUGUUAGAGAUAACUUGGUGCCUUCGGGAACUGAGAGACAGGUGCUGCAUGGCUGUCGUCAGCUCGUGUCGUGAGAUGUUGGGUUAAGUCCCGCAACGAGCGAAACCCUUAUCUUUAGUUGCCAGCGCGUAAUGGCGGGGACUCUAGAGAGACUGCCGGUGUUAAACCGGAGGAAGGUGGGGAUGACGUCAAGUCCUCAUGGCCUUUAUGACCAGGGGCUGCACACGUCCUACAAUG